AACGAACGCUGGCGGCGCGUCUUAAGCAUGCAAGUCGGGCGGGAUCCACGCGCUUGCGCGUGGUGAGAGCGGCGGACUGGCGAGUAACACGUGGGCGACGCGCCCUCCGGACGGGAAUAGCCUGCAGAAAUGCAGGGUAAUGCCGGAUGCGAACGCACGGGCUGGAGCCGUGCGUGGAAAGCCCCCACGGGGGCGCCGGAGGAGCGGCCCGCGGCCCAUCAGCUGGUAGGCGGUGCAAGGGACCACCUAGGCUACGACGGGUACCCGGCCUCAGAGGGCGGACGGGCGCAUUGGGACUGAGAUACGGCCCAGACUCCUACGGGAGGCAGCAGCUAAGAAUAUUCCGCAAUGGGGGGAACCCUGACGGAGCGACGCCGCGUGGGCGAGGAAGGCCGGAAGGUUGUAAAGCCCUUUUGCGCGCGAGGAAUAAGGGGAGGAGGGAAUGCCUUCCGGUGACUGUAGCGCGCGAAUAAGCGCCGGCUAAUUACGUG
Molecule: ribosomal RNA, 491 nt
Filed under: uncultured bacterium
Lineage: Bacteria
Description: bacterial SSU rRNA
Rfam family: Bacterial small subunit ribosomal RNA
Source: RNAcentral